This 1893-nucleotide long non-coding RNA is filed under the name Nicotiana tabacum (common tobacco). RNAcentral's name for it is "long non-coding RNA (NTAB_LNC009649)". The record is from RNAcentral. Lineage: Eukaryota; Viridiplantae; Streptophyta; Magnoliopsida; Solanales; Solanaceae.
CUAAAGGUCUGGAAAAAGAGAGUGACGAGCAGAGGGGGGAAAACAGAGAACACACAAAAGGGGAAGGCAAAACAGUAAAAUCUCCCACUAAUUUCAGCCUGAGACUAGCUUAAAAUUGUCCCUAUAUUCACCCCAAACCACCAUGAAAACUCAGCCAUAAAACCAUUAAAAAUCAAUCCAUCGACCAUUGUCGAAGCCAGCAGUUUCGGCCAUGAAAAUCUGCUCCGAAUAGCCAAAAAAUGCAGCUGAAACAGCUGCAAAAACAGUCGUGAGACAGCACAUGUUUCAGUCACGUAAAACCAGGCUUAUACCAUCGCAAAAACGCCCCAAACCAGUGCGAAAAUCAGCUUGAAACCACCGUCACUACAACAAAUUUGAUUUAUAGCGACAAAUAUUUUUGUCACUAAAAGGCUUUAUUUCGUCACUAAAUGUCUUUUAUGACCAAAUGUUUUUCGUCAAUUCUUUAUAGCCAUAAAUAGGUCACUAAAAGUUUUCAUUGACGAUUUAGUGGUUCGUCGCUAAAUGACGUUACAUUAGCGACAAAUUUGUUAUUUCGUCCCCAAAUAUAUUGAAUCGAUGACGAACUUGUUUGUUAGAAAAAGUUCAACUUUUUUGUAGUAGAAAAUAACUUUCGUCACUAAAUAAAUUCUUAAUACCAACAAAACAAAUUUGUCACUAAUUUUUUUAUUUUGAUUAGUGACAAUUCUAAUUGUCUCUAAAGUGGUAUCUAAUUUAUAGUUGAAAAAUGUGAUUUUGUCACGAAGAUAUGCAAAUUUUAAGAAAAAGAUUAUCAUUUGUACACAAAAACGUUUUCGUCCCUAAAUGUAUAGAAUUAAAGACAAAUUUGUUUGUCUAGAGAACUGUAACGAUUUGUGACUGGAAGGUAUUUGGCGAUGAUUAUAUAUGUUUUCGUACUAUUUGUAAUUUUUAAGAUAAAUGGAUUAUUUUAAUAUUUAGAAUUUAUAAAUAAUAAUGAAUAUUCUAUAAUUGAAUAUAAUACAUUUUUUGCAAAUUUUAAUGUUUAUCGAACAAAUUGUUAAAAAAUGCAGAAUCUUUAUUUCUCAUAGGAUUAGUUACAAUAUUUGGGAUUAUGGGAAUACAAAGAUGAGGAUAAAAAAUAUAUACACAAAAACAUGAGUAGAGGAGUAAAAAACAUGACAUUUACACUGUAUAUUACAAAGAUUUCAGUCUCAAAUCCCCAACUAACACUUAAUACAUUCACCAUUUCUCAAUUGAAAGAAAAAUACUCAGCUUUUGCUUUAACCAACCCAAUUUCAAAAUCUUUUGAUUCUUGACUGCAUAGUUUCUUUUUCUGUUUGCCACAGAUCUCUUCUUGCUUAGCUCUGUCUCUCGCCCAUGUUUUGGCUUGAAGAGCCUCAUAUCGGUGAAGGCAUGACCUUGUUUGUCAGAGAAAAAAGAUAGGGAAAGACAUGACAUCAACAGAAAAACAUAGAAGAUUAACGAGUUUAAAUAAAAAGAGAAGAAAGACAAACCUAUAGAUCUUUCGUGAAACCGUCAAUGAUAGCAGAGUUUUGAAGAAACAGAGCCACUUUUUCAUGAGAGAGAAGUCGGGAGAUGUGAAACUGUAAAUCAGUCUACAGUUUCAUAUUCGUAAGUUUAGGGAUCUUAACAAGAAAAUGAGCCGAUUAUUUCGUCCACUUUGUUAUGCUAGUUAUUCUUACUUAUGCAUUUCUAUUUAUUUGACGAAAACAAAUUUAAAUUGGUAAAAGAAUCAAAAGAGAACUACAUAAAGUUAAAAAAUCAUUUUUCAAAUUCUAUUCAAAAUUAUACGCUAAGGCCGAAAUCUCUAUAUUUUGCAAGAAGCCUUAGAACAAUACUUUUAUGUAAUUCCCUUUUAAAAUUCUUUUAAUUUUAAGAAAAUCAAACAUUAUG